GCGGAUAUGGCGGAAUUGGUAGACGCGCUAGGUUUAGGUCCUAGUGGGCCCGGCCCGUGGGGGUUCAAGUCCCUCUAUCCGCA
Transfer RNA from Anaplasma marginale str. Florida, 83 nucleotides. It matches the Rfam family "tRNA". Rfam says of the family: Transfer RNA (tRNA) molecules are approximately 80 nucleotides in length. Their secondary structure includes four short double-helical elements and three loops (D, anti-codon, and T loops). NCBI's taxonomy places the organism in Bacteria, Pseudomonadati, Pseudomonadota, Alphaproteobacteria, Rickettsiales, Anaplasmataceae. The record is from Rfam.